Molecule: long non-coding RNA, 2110 nt
Organism: Hypanus sabinus (Atlantic stingray)
Lineage: Eukaryota; Metazoa; Chordata; Chondrichthyes; Myliobatiformes; Dasyatidae
Exons: 2
Source: RefSeq, a predicted model, not a curated record
CUCGACAGUAGAGGAGUCCAUAGAUUGACAUAUCAGAAUGGGAAUGGGACGUGGAAUUAAAAUGUGAGGCCACUGGGAGAUCCUGCUCUCUCUGGCAGUGUUCAGCAAAAUGGUCUCCCAGUCUGCGUCGAGUCUCACCAAUACAUAGAAGGCCACACCGGGAGAACCUGAUGCAGUAAACCACACCAGCUGACUCACAGAUGAAGUGUCACCUCACCUGGAAGGACUGUCUGGGGCCUGAAUGGUCAUGAGGGAGGAAGGGUUAGGGCAGGUGUAGCACUUGUUCUGUUUAGAAGGAUAAGUGCCAGGAGGGAGAUUGGUGGGAAGGGAUGGGGGGAUGGAUGGACAGAGGAGUCACGCAGGGAGUGAUACUUGCAGAAAGCAGAAGUGGAGGGUAGGGCAAGAUGUACUUGGUGGUGGAAUCCCGUUGGAGGUGGCAGAAGUUACUGAGAAUUAUAUGUUGGACCCAGAGGCUGGUGGGGUGGUAGGUAGGACAAGUGGAACCCUAUUCCAAGAGGGCAGGCAGGUGGAUGGGGUGAGAGCAGAUGUGAGUGAAAUGGGAGAGCCCCUACACAACUCCCUUGUGUCCCCCCCUUCUUACCCCAUCCCUUAUUUAUGUAUUAUUUUUUCCCUUUUGUUUUCUCUUUUUUUCCUGUUCCUCUCACAAUCACUCCUUGCCUGCUCUCCAUCUCCCUCUGGUGCUUCAUUCACCCUUUCUUUAUCCCUGGGCCUCCCAUCCUAUGAUCCUCUCCCUUGUCCAGCUGUGUAUUCCUUUACCCAAUCAACUUUCUAGCUCUUAGCCUCACCCACCCCCUCCUGUCUUCUCCUAUCAUUUCGGAUCUCCUCACGCAUUAGGGAUGGCCUCCCGCUCUCAAAUCUCUUACUAUCUUUUCUUUCAGUUAGUCCUUACGAAGGGUCUCGACCCGAAACGUCGACAGUACUUCUUCCUAUAGAUGCUGCCUGGCCUGCUGCGUUCCACCAGCAUUUUAUAUGUGGCUUCUACUUAUUGUGAACUCACCGGAGCAACACAAAGUGGGUUAACUGAAUGAGUCUCUUCGCACACAUGGAGCAGGUGAACGGCCGCUUCCCAGUGCAAGGCUGUUGGUGUAUCUGCAAUGGCCGACUGAAACCCUUCCAAAAUGAGAGCCAGUGAAUGACAUCUCACUGCUAUCAACACCAUGGCAAUGUAUCCAAUCAGAUCACGGACAUCGACAUAUGUUCAGGUUCUCCUUGUAGCGAGUGGGACACUGUCUUCUCCACGUUCAAGGAUCUGUGGCAUUCAAGCUCUGGUGAACUGACAGAUACAGUGGAACAAAUGUGCUGUUAUGUUUCAGGUUCCCAUACACAAAUCCUUUGAUUUGUCUACACUGUUAAAAGUUUACAAAGCAUGUCAGUGGGUGAAGGACAACAUUUUAACAGAUAAUUUUAGUCUCCAUGGUGCCUUCUGUUAAAAACACUGUCACAGCUCAAAACAUUUUGGAGGAACAAGACUUCAUCUUCUAACUGGCUACAGUUCCGGCAUCAGGCAAAAUAUCAAACUCUCUACUUCCCUCUCUGUAUCAAAAUGGAUCAUUCCUCCCCUUCAUCAGUCUGUGACUUGCCUCAGUUGUCUGACUCCUUCGCAUUCUGAGCAUACACCACACACCCACUAAGAUCACGUUGUAUUUACAUGGCUGUGACUAGAGACUUUCUGAUUAUUAUGCCCCUCCUGGCAUCUGAGUCAGCAAUGCUAUUGAACCUCGGGAGUAGGUGAUUAGGCUUUCUUGUUGGAGAUCGAUAAACUGCCGGUAGUGUGUGGCUGGGUGAGUGGGUUGUUUUCAGAGUGGAAGGAGGUAGCGUUUGGAGUACCCCAGAGAUCAGUCCCUGACCACAGUUGUUCACAGUUUAGUGGCCUGGCGGAGGCAGCGAGAAGUCCCAGUCUGCUGAUGACACAGAAAGAUUGGAGUUGGGGGAGGGGAGGCUAUUCAUAUGCAAUUUCGUAGCUUUGCAGUCAGUACAUAGUGCAUUGUGGGGCUGCAGUGGCGGGUUCCAUUGCUGGGAUCAGUGUACAGUCACUGUGGGCUAUGAGGAUUUUGUGAAUAAAGCACCAUUCUCCAAUUUAGAAUUUCAA